GGGAAUAUUGGACAAUGGGCGCAAGCCUGAUCCAGCCAUGCCGCGUGAGUGAUGACGGCCCUAGGGUUGUAAAGCUCUUUUACCUGGGAAGAUAAUGACGGUACCAGGAGAAUAAGCCCCGGCUAACUUCGUGCCAGCAGCCGCGGUAAUACGAAGGGGGCUAGCGUUGUUCGGAUUUACUGGGCGUAAAGCGCACGUAGGCGGACGCUUAAGUCAGGGGUGAAAUCCCGAGGCUCAACCUCGGAACUGCCUUUGAUACUGGGUGUCUUGAGUCCGGGAGAGGUGAGUGGAACUGCGAGUGUAGAGGUGAAAUUCGUAGAUAUUCGCAAGAACACCAGUGGCGAAGGCGGCUCACUGGCCCGGAACUGACGCUGAGGUGCGAAAGCGUGGGGAGCAAA
RNAcentral lists this ribosomal RNA (398 nucleotides) under uncultured bacterium. RNAcentral describes it as "bacterial SSU rRNA". It matches the Rfam family "Bacterial small subunit ribosomal RNA", at positions 357 to 772 of the family's 1533-position model. The record is from RNAcentral.